CGGAGUAUAGCGUAGUGGUUAGCGUUCCUGGUUUGGGACCAGGGGGUCCAAGGUUCAAAUCCUUGUACUCCGA
Molecule: transfer RNA, 73 nt
Filed under: Candidatus Zinderia insecticola CARI
Lineage: Bacteria; Pseudomonadati; Pseudomonadota; Betaproteobacteria; Burkholderiales; Oxalobacteraceae
Description: tRNA-Pro (TGG) (tRNA-Pro-TGG-1-1)
Rfam family: tRNA
About the family: Transfer RNA (tRNA) molecules are approximately 80 nucleotides in length. Their secondary structure includes four short double-helical elements and three loops (D, anti-codon, and T loops).
Source: Rfam by way of RNAcentral